CCCCUAGACGUUCUGGGCUGCACGCGCGCUACAAUAAUACGCACAGCGAGUAUCACCGAGCUCGAAAGGGCAAGGUAAACAAUAGAAAAGGUACUGUAAUGGUUAUAGAUCCUUGUAAUUAUUGAUCUUCAACGAGGAAUUCCUAGUAAGUAUGUGUCAUCAUCACGCACUGAUUACGUCCCUGCCCUUUGUACACACCGCCCGUCGCUCCUACCGAUUGGGUGAGCCGAUGAAACUCUCGGAUGUAGGCUAUUCAUAGCCCGCAGAAGAGAUUUGAAUCGUAGCGCUUAGAGGAAGGAGAAGUCGUAGCA
This 311-nucleotide ribosomal RNA is filed under the name uncultured eukaryote. Its description in RNAcentral is "partial 18S ribosomal RNA". It matches the Rfam family "Eukaryotic small subunit ribosomal RNA", at positions 1470 to 1796 of the family's 1831-position model. The record is from RNAcentral.